Long non-coding RNA from Carassius gibelio (silver crucian carp), 711 nucleotides. RefSeq lists it as uncharacterized. The record is from RefSeq and is a predicted model, not a curated record. The transcript is spliced from 4 exons. NCBI's taxonomy places the organism in Eukaryota, Metazoa, Chordata, Actinopteri, Cypriniformes, Cyprinidae.
AGCAACCCGUUCUCAUCAGUCUGCGUAUAAAUAACACGACUUUACACUUUCUAUUUGCGUGUAAUGCAUACGCCAAAUGCCAUUUUUGCGUGCAUAUGAUACGCCAAUCCUUCCCAUUAAUUUCGGUGGAGAGCAGAUGCGUCCAAAUAACACGCAUCAUCUUCAGCGGCAGUGACGUCACCAGCGAGGCUCGUUCAGUUCACCUGAUGCGCGUACACCUUCAAACAGGUAAGCAAGGUUACGUCGGAUUACAUACUCCACAACAACCUGUAAUCCAGCAGAUCUUUAAAGAAGCCAUCUCUUGUAAAAUCUCUCUCUCGCUCUCUCGCUCUGCUAGAAUUAACAGGGAACUUCAACUCCACGCUCCCAAUGCUGAUAUUGAAGAAGUUGUCAAGGGGGCUGAACAAGUCCUUCAAAGGAUCAACCCUUCACAGGAAGGCCUGUCAUGAGAUUUGAAUUUGACCAUCUUGUGCAUUUAUGAAGAAGACCAAAAGCUGCAAAGGCAAACACUUCCAAUGGAUUUCUCACAGAUUACUUAAUCAUUCUUCAUCAGCUCUUCACAAUAUCAGCCCAUUCAAAAGCUUCCAGAUCUUCCUCUCUUGUGUGACACAUCUGCUCUCAGUCCUUUACUGCCAACCUCCAGUCUUAGCAUUUCUGCUUGUAUUAAUUUUUCCUAUACAUUCAUCACUCCAAUCUCUACUAUAAGCACUC